Molecule: ribosomal RNA, 429 nt
Filed under: Pseudomonadota bacterium
Lineage: Bacteria; Pseudomonadati; Pseudomonadota
Description: Proteobacteria bacterium partial 16S ribosomal RNA
Rfam family: Bacterial small subunit ribosomal RNA
Source: RNAcentral
UGGGGAAUAUUGGACAAUGGGCGAAAGCCUGAUCCAGCCAUGCCGCGUGUGUGAAGAAGGUCUUCGGUUUGUAAAGCACUUUACGUUGGGAGGAAGGGCAGUAAGCGAAUACCUUGCUGUUUUGACGUUACCGACAGAAUAAGCACCGGCUAACUCUGUGCCAGCAGCCGCGGUAAUACAGAGGGUGCAAGCGUUUAUCGGAAUUAUUGGGCGUAAAGCGCGCGUAGGUGGUUCGUUAAGUUGAAUGUGAAAGCCCCGGGCUCAACCUGGGAACUGCAUCCAAAACUGGCGAGCUAGCGUAGGGCAGAUGGUGGUGGAAUUUCCUGUGUAGCGGCGAAAUGCGUACAUAUAGGAAGGAACACCAGUGGCGCAGGCGAACACCUGGGAUAAUACUGACACUGUGGUGCGAAAGCGUGGGGAGCAAACAGG